GUCACUUUUUAAUUUUAUCAUCUUCCCCAUUUACGCCUCUAAACCCCCCCUUUUUCUUUCCCAUAACAAAUCCCUAGCGUAAUAGAAAAGUCUCGAAUCCAACAAUUUUCUAUUCAUCUAUUUUUUUUCUUCUUUCAGUCUUCAACAAUCUUUAAUAAUUCACAAAUUCAGCAGAUUUUUCACUUUCUCGUCCACAAAUUCAAAGGAGUGACAGUUCUGUUCUUAAUACUUUCACGUACUGUUGCCGGACUUUGUACAAGGCUUAUUUUGUAGCCAAUGGCCACAGUAAAUUAUGACAUGAAGGAAGACUCAAUGCAUUCUGUCUUUCUAGAUUCCGUAAUAUCCAACCUGGAUGAUGAUGCUCUGUCUCCUGAAGAUUUAGCAUGGGCUGAUUCUUGCCUGAACAAAGAGGUGGAUGCUUCUGAUGCCGACUGGAGUUCUAUUAAAGAUGCCUUGCUGGAGAUUAUUAGCUCUCAAUCAGAAUCACCGGCUAAUUUUUCUGCAGCGCAGAGCAGUAUGGAAGUGAUUGCUAAUGAGGCUUUUCGUUCUAGAGAAAAUCUGAGUAGUGGUGAAUUUGGCAGAGGAUCUGAUGAAGAUGAGGAUCUCUUGGAUGAAGAUGAUGAUUUUGGAGAAGUUGAAAGCAUUGAUAUAUCUGAAGAUGAUGGGGACGAUUUUGUAUCUAGAAAUAUGAGACUUCGGAUGAGAGGAAAAAACCUUAAUAAUGUUUUCCGGCCAAAUUAUUCUGAAGAUGUGAAAGUGGAGGACCUUGAUUCUGGUUUGAGCUCGAGUUUAUAUGAGGUGGAUACUUCACUGCAAUCCAUCUUCCAAGUUUGGGAUCUCGGGGUUUCUGACGAACAAGACGAUUUUACCAAACAAUUGAACAAAGCCAUUGAUGAUGGUCCUUCACAGAUUCAAUCAAUUUCUUUUGAUUCAGCAGCGUCGAAAGAUCAAAUGCAUGUGUCCAUGGAUGAUCUCAUUGCUGGCAUUGAUGGUCUUUCUCUGAAGCAAAAUACAAAAUGAGUCAUUUGUUUGCUGUAAUAUUCUCAUUUAGUUCCUGGUCAUUUAUAAAAUUUUCAUUCUCGCCUUCUAGCCUCUGAAAGGAACUUAUCCUACCUUAAUCCAGCAGCAAUAACAGAAGCGGCAGAAAUCAGAGAGCCUUAACUCUCAGCUCAUCAAAUGGCAUUGAAUGACAGAUUUCGACAUCAAAAUCGUGUGGGCAGAAACCAGACCUCGUUUACCGAGCCGGGGCCAUGCCAAGUCAGCAGGUUAUCAUCCACAUGGCGAAACGUGAGUGGAUGAAGCAUAAGAGCCUCAAGUGAGACAUCUUAUGAUAACAUGCAUAAAACUAGAGUUAUAUAUAUUUGAAGUACUGAUGCAUUGGUUGUAUAGCCUGUGUGUGUGGUAGAGCUUGCUAAGAGGAAGGAUAAGACUUAUAGAGCUAUUCAGCUUCUUAGCAUAUCUUUUGGUUAAGUCUUUCCUGCUUCUUUAGCACACAAUU
Molecule: RNA transcript, 1498 nt
Organism: Beta vulgaris subsp. vulgaris (sugar beet)
Lineage: Eukaryota; Viridiplantae; Streptophyta; Magnoliopsida; Caryophyllales; Amaranthaceae
Exons: 4
Source: RefSeq, a predicted model, not a curated record